This 301-nucleotide ribosomal RNA is filed under the name uncultured bacterium. RNAcentral describes it as "partial 16S ribosomal RNA". It matches the Rfam family "Bacterial small subunit ribosomal RNA", at positions 509 to 807 of the family's 1533-position model. The record is from RNAcentral.
CAGCAGCCACGGUAAUACGUAGGGUGCGAGCGUUAUUCGGAAUUACUGGGCGUAAAGCGUGCGCAGGCGGUUGUGUAAGACAGACGUGAAAUCCCCGGGCUCAACCUGGGAACUGCGUUUGUGACUGCACGGCUAGAGUACGGCAGAGGGGGGUGGAAUUCCACGUGUAGCAGUGAAAUGCGUAGAGAUUUGGAGGAACACCGAUGGCGAAGGCAGCCCCCUGGGCCAGUACUGACGCUCAUGCACGAAAGCGUUGGGAGCAAACAGGAUUAGAUACCCCUGUAGUCCCUGUCUCUUAUAC